UACAGGGGGUGCGAGCGUUAAUCGGAAUUACUGGGCGUAAAGCGUGCGUAGACGGUUAUUUAAGUCGGGUGUGAAAGCCCCGGGCUCAACCUGGGAAUUGCAUUCGAGACUGAAUAGCUAGGGUACGGUAGAGGGAAGUGGAAUUUCCGGUGUAGCGGUGAAAUGCGUAGAUAUCGGAAGGAACAUCAGUGGCGAAAGCGACUUCCUGGACCAGUACCGACGUUCAGGCACGAAAGCGUGGGAGCAAACAGG
RNAcentral lists this ribosomal RNA (252 nucleotides) under uncultured bacterium. Its description in RNAcentral is "partial 16S ribosomal RNA". It matches the Rfam family "Bacterial small subunit ribosomal RNA", at positions 524 to 776 of the family's 1533-position model. The record is from RNAcentral.